The submitters of this non-coding RNA (87 nucleotides) gave its source as unclassified sequences. The record is from Rfam.
AGAACUAGAGGACGGAACGGGCAGCCGUCACCGGAUAGCCGCAAGGCUUGAUUAGGAGAUGUGGGAGACGUCACCCCACCUAAUUCU